GGGAGCGCUGCUUCUAAAACUUGCCGGUUGUGCUCUGCUUGAUGUGCAAACAGCCGUGUGUUUCUCAGCUGUCCUGCUUCGCAGAAGCCCUGGGGAGUUGAGAUAGACUUUUAUCUUUGCAUCCACACGAGGACUUUUUUCUUGGGCUUCACGUGGGUUACAGUGCACCAAGAUAGAAAGUUGCUCGUUGUGGCAGAACAAGUAGUGGAAAUUUGCCAAAAGGGAGAAAAACAGCUCAAGGUCAGGGAAGAAGUCACUGUGAUGAAGCUGAAGGAGAAGUACAGCAGGGAAACGGGGCACACAGUUGCUUUGGAUGCAGCUGUGCGUGCCCAGAAGGACACGAGCUUGUACUGAGCUCUUGGAAAAUGCAUGCCAAUAGUUACAUAUCUAUGUCUUAAUUUUAGGUGUAGAACCUGAACUGCGAGAGCACGUCCUUGAUUUAUCAAGUUGCCUGGUACAUAUCGUGAGGAGUAAAGGAACGUUGGUUUUCUAACACCACGUUGAAGUUAGAGAGCUUUCUUCCCAUAUUUUGCAUGACAACAUCACGAGGUUGUACAUCUUGGAGGAACAGUUAGUUCUUUUCAGAGACUGCAUGUUCGUUGUGCAGCGUGUUCAAGCAGAAAACAAGAUGGGUAAAAAUGAGAAUGCAAAAGUAAAUGUACUCUUACACUGAUGUUACGGUGGCAUGCCAAAUCAAGUCAGACAAUAUUAAAGAUGUAUAAAUAAGCAUAUCAAGAACAGAAGCAGAUCUGGCACUUGACAAGAGAAAAGCCUCAUGAAGCAACGUCAAGUUGUCCAGGAGUGGAACUAGUCUGGCGAUAAAGAGGAGAAGUCACCACUCACGUACUUUCUGAUCCUCUACACAAGAACUGCAGAGCAGCAGAGAAGAGAGAGGUAAACAGCUCACAGAGGGAUCUCACAGCAUAUGGAAGCAUUGUGUGUCACACUACCAUGCCUGCAGAGUAAGCACCGGGAUCCCAACUCACAUUCACUUUUCUUGCAUGUCUGUUCUGGUUAUAAAGAUGAUCCCACCAGCUGGAACUCUCCUCGCAGACCCCAGCUCUGUGAUUCUGAAGGUGCUGGGAUCUCUCUGGUUUGAUCCCUGCUGUCUCCAGAGGGAAGCUGGCAGCAGCAGUGCUGCCUGGCCUGCAGCAUCCCUGGAUGAGACUGGCCAGCAAGGCUGGCUGCUGGCUGCCACCAGGGAGAGGAGGGCUCCCGUGUCACUGUAUGAAAGAGCCUACAGCUUGUCCUCCCUUCCAUGUUCUGUGCUGUCAAGGAGUCCAAACCUUGUGCCACAGUUCUUGAACGAGAAGCAAUUCUGAACACACAAUGCAGAACUAAUCAGAAAAUGUGUUGAAUGAGAAAGAAGCUGACACCUGCUCUUGUGGGAAUGGAGUGUUGUUUCUGCAUUAGAUAUUAAAAAGGGCAAAUGAUUUGAAGAAGUACUUGUAUUCUGUAACUUGUUCUUAGAAGUAGUUGAUCUCAGAAGUAGAAAUACUGUGUAUGUUAGUAGCAUGUUUUAGAAACGUUAUUCCUGAAUUAUGUGAUUAAUUCUUUCUUGCAAAACUGCAAUAGUUGUUAAAUGUUCCAAACAAUGUGGGCAUAGUGCUAGGGGUUAGAAAACAUAUUGUAGGGUUGUUCUGUUAGGAUAAGAAACUCCCAGCAAAAGAAAAACAGAUUUAACAAACAUCAAAGAAGCCAGGGCCUCUACACAAGGCCAGACCGUCUCACUCCAUGAGAAGAUUGGGAUGUGACAGGCAGGCACCAAGAUACUCCCCUCCGUCCUCCUUCUGAGCUUCAUCUCUGCGGAGGGGAGGACAAGCAGAUGUCCACAAAAAAAUGAGCAAGUGUGGAAUAAGGGUUAGAAGUUAAUAAAAAAAAUAAACAGCUGUGCUGUUUCUGCGGGAUCAAGAGCUACACAGUGCUGCAGGAGACCCGAGCUUUCAAAGCAGGUGAAUGUUUUCUACAUUAUGCAAUUACUAGAAUCUCCUCAUAGCUUUAAUUAGGAAGGCAGAUCUGAAGUAACCAAUAGUAGCCACAAUCGUUUUAAGUGUUUUUCUGUGCCGAACUGUUUUACCCUUGUCUUUGCUGACACUGCUGUCAACGCAAAGUAGUUGCUGUACUCCUGCUUUUCAGCAGCUGCAAAGAGACCAAGGGCCCAGUUCUAUAGGCAGCGCUGCACAAACUCACUCUUGGCCUGCAGCCCACUUGCUGCAGUCUGACUGAGGUGGGACCACGUGCAUCUGUGUGCACUGCAUUCAGAUGUGGUAGUCCUGCUGACAUGGCUCUUGAAAUGAAAGACUUGGGAAUGUUAUGAGAUAGAGCCUGGGCUACGUCCUCAACCAAAACGUGCUCCUUCGUCCCCGUGGAUACACACGGGCUGCUGCUCUCCUGCGGGCUGUCAUGGUUUAAUGAUUCUUGUUAUCGGUAUUCCACAUCAUAGCACCAUGUAGCACACUGGGAUUUGAAGAGUUAAUGCUGCAGUUCCGUGGACUGCCGAUGGUUCCAGGUACCCGUUUCAGAAGAGAAACUACAGAAGGAAUUUCAGCACCCAGAAGACUUUGCUGUUCCAUUUCCAUGCUCCAGUAAGGGGGAGAGAUAAGAUUGACUGGGAGUCAUGGGAUGGCCUCUCUUUUUUGCCUUCCCUGUCUCUUUUUCCGCUCAUCUCUGCGGUGUGUGCUUCCCAGCCAUCCCGCCUACAGCAUCACAGCCAGGCCUUUGCUUUUCGGAUGCUCUCAUUUAUUCGACUUCUUAGCUUCAAUUCCAAUUAUACUGUAUUGAAUUGUGUUA
Centrocercus urophasianus (Greater sage-grouse) is the source of this 2790-nucleotide long non-coding RNA. RefSeq lists it as uncharacterized. The record is from RefSeq and is a predicted model, not a curated record. NCBI's taxonomy places the organism in Eukaryota, Metazoa, Chordata, Aves, Galliformes, Phasianidae. The transcript has 2 exons.